UUGGAGGGCAAGUCUGGUGCCAGCAGCCGCGGUAAUUCCAGCUCCAAUAGCGUAUAUUAAAGUUGUUGCAGUUAAAAAGCUCGUAGUUGAAUUUCGGGAUCAAAUUGUCGGUCGUGCCUCGGUACGCACUGGUAUUAUUGGUUCCUACCUUCCGAAGAACCGCGAUGUCAUUAAUUUGGUGUCGUGGGGAAUCAGGACUGUUACUUUGAAAAAAUUAGAGUGUUUAAAGCAGGCUUACGCUUGAAUACAUUAGCAUGGAAUAAUGAAAUAGGACGUUUGAUUCUAUUUUGUUGGUUUCUAGGAUUGACGUAAUAAUUAAUAGGGAUAGUUGGGGGCAUUAGUAUUCAAUUGUCAGAGGUGAAAUUCUUGGAUUUAUUGAAGACUAACUACUGCGAAAGCAUUUGCCAAGGAUGUUUCCAUUAAUCAAGAACGAAAGUUAGGGGAUCGAAGACGAUCAGAUACCGUCGUAGUCUUAACCAUAAACUAUGCCGACUAGGGAUCGGAUGAUGUUAAUUUUUUAAUGACACAUUCGGCGCCUUACGGGAAACCAAAGUGUUUGGGUUC
RNAcentral lists this ribosomal RNA (564 nucleotides) under uncultured Glomeromycotina. RNAcentral describes it as "SSU rRNA". It matches the Rfam family "Eukaryotic small subunit ribosomal RNA", at positions 548 to 1114 of the family's 1831-position model. The record is from RNAcentral. Lineage: Eukaryota; Fungi; Glomeromycota.